This is a non-coding RNA of Brachypodium distachyon (stiff brome), 125 nucleotides long. The record is from Rfam. NCBI's taxonomy places the organism in Eukaryota, Viridiplantae, Streptophyta, Magnoliopsida, Poales, Poaceae.
UACCUACUCCCUCCGUCUCAUAUUAAGUGUCUCAAAUUUGUCUAAAUAUGGAUGUAUCUAUAGCUAAAAUGCGUCUGGGUACAUGUAAUAUUUCGACACUUAAUAUGUGACGGAGGGAGUACUUA